UACGAAGGGGGCUAGCGUUGCUCGGAAUCACUGGGCGUAAAGGGUGCGUAGGCGGGUCUUUAAGUCAGGGGUGAAAUCCUGGAGCUCAACUCCAGAACUGCCUUUGAUACUGAAGAUCUUGAGUUCGGGAGAGGUGAGUGGAACUGCGAGUGUAGAGGUGAAGUUCGUAGAUAUUCGCAAGAACACCAGUGGCGAAGGCGGCUCACUGGCCCGGUACUGACGCUGAGGUGCGAAAGCGUGGGGAGCAAACAGG
This 253-nucleotide ribosomal RNA is filed under the name uncultured bacterium. Its description in RNAcentral is "partial 16S ribosomal RNA". It matches the Rfam family "Bacterial small subunit ribosomal RNA", at positions 524 to 776 of the family's 1533-position model. The record is from RNAcentral.